RNAcentral lists this long non-coding RNA (574 nucleotides) under Patiria miniata (bat star). Its description in RNAcentral is "uncharacterized LOC119725251". Lineage: Eukaryota; Metazoa; Echinodermata; Asteroidea; Valvatida; Asterinidae. The record is from RNAcentral.
AUUAGGGGGUGAGUGUGACCUGUCGUGUUUUACAACAGACAGGUCUCGGUAAUAUUUCUAAUAUAAUCAUAAGCAUAGUACAUAGGCUGUACAAUAUGAUGAGCCAUUAUUUUGAUAACAUAAUUAGCGCCCUCUGUAGUUACAGAAACUUUUUAUUGCAACGCCCUCGCUUGGUUCCUUAACUUUCCUGCAAUCACAUUCUAGCAUAACCAGCUACAUUGGCCAGGAACAUUCCAACAUACCUUGCAUUCCAGAAUAUUGUUAACACUUUCUGAGCUGCAUUGCGUGCUGCAUAACUUAGCUUUCGUGUAAUGACAAGGCAUUGCUAGAGACACUCAUCCACUUGCUUGCGAUCAGACCACACCUACAAUUUAGAAGUGCUCUGAUUAUAGCUCAACUACAGCUAGUUGGGGACAAUUUCCCCUUCGUUUGGUGGUGGCACGACCGUUGUUCAGCCUAGGCGACGUACAACUGUAUACCCAUUUGACUGUCGUUUUUUUGUAUAUAUAUUCGAGAGAGCCACAACUGUAUAUUUUGUAUAGAUUCAUCCGAAUAAAUUAAUCAAAUCUAGUCA